RNAcentral lists this ribosomal RNA (740 nucleotides) under uncultured Hyphomicrobiales bacterium. RNAcentral's name for it is "bacterial SSU rRNA". It matches the Rfam family "Bacterial small subunit ribosomal RNA", at positions 8 to 796 of the family's 1533-position model. Lineage: Bacteria; Pseudomonadati; Pseudomonadota; Alphaproteobacteria; Hyphomicrobiales. The record is from RNAcentral.
AGAGUUUGAUCCUGGCUCAGAACGAACGCUGGCGGCAGGCUUAACACAUGCAAGUCGAACGCACCUUCGGGUGAGUGGCAGACGGGUGAGUAACGCGUGGGAACGUGCCCUUCAGUUCGGAAUAACCCAGGGAAACUUGGGCUAAUACCGGAUACGUGCGAGAGCAGAAAGAUUUAUCGCUGAAGGAUCGGCCCGCGUCUGAUUAGCUAGUUGGUGGGGUAAUGGCCCACCAAGGCGACGAUCAGUAGCUGGUCUGAGAGGAUGAUCAGCCACAUUGGGACUGAGACACGGCCCAAACUCCUACGGGAGGCAGCAGUGGGGAAUAUUGGACAAUGGGCGCAAGCCUGAUCCAGCCAUGCCGCGUGAGUGAUGAAGGCCCUAGGGUUGUAAAGCUCUUUCGGCGGGGACGAUAAUGACGGUACCCGCAGAAGAAGCCCCGGCUAACUUCGUGCCAGCAGCCGCGGUAAUACGAAGGGGGCUAGCGUUGUUCGGAAUCACUGGGCGUAAAGGGCGCGUAGGCGGCUUGAUAAGUCGGGGGUGAAAGCCUGUGGCUCAACCACAGAAUUGCCUUCGAUACUGUCUGGCUUGAGACCGGAAGAGGUAAGUGGAACUGCGAGUGUAGAGGUGAAAUUCGUAGAUAUUCGCAAGAACACCAGUGGCGAAGGCGGCUUACUGGUCCGGUUCUGACGCUGAGGCGCGAAAGCGUGGGGAGCAAACAGGAUUAGAUACCCCCGUAGUCC